CGGCGGAGCCGGGCCCGGCCGCAGGUGGCUCCGUGUCCUGCCCGUCCCGGCCCUCACCGGGAAGGUUCCCCUCCUCCCAGCCCCUCUCUGUUUUCCAGCACGAAGACCCCGCGUUUUGAGGUACCAGGUGCGAAGCCAAGCGAAGAAAAGCCCGCAGCCAGAGGCGCUUUGAUGAGCGGCCAAGUAAAGCAGCCUGCCGCCAGGCUUAUCUGCCUGCCUCGCACGCUGCUCGGUGACUCGGCACGUGCAACAUGCAGCAGAACAGGACUUUUCAUUGGACUUUGGGAACAACUAGGGAUCAUCAUUCUGCUCUUCUCUGAAUGAAGGCCCAUUCUGCUUCACUCCAUUGAUCUGCAGUUCUGGAGAUAGAACUAAUUCAGGAACAGAGCUGGCUCAGCAAAAUCUGCCAAUCAUGGCAAAUUACAUGAAUGAUUCUGUGGAGGCUGACACAAGAUUGCUGAACUCAUUUUCGUGCAUGGCUAAACAGAGAAUUGAACCUUGUGCUCCAGAAGUGAAAGGUUAGUGAUUUUAGAUAAUUUUAAAACGAUUGUAUAGGAGUUGAUAUAGCUACUGUCAGUCUACCAUAAUCCUGUUCUUUGUUGAAUUUGCCCUUGCGGAGGCACUGCUUUCUGGCAGUAAUUAAGGGGAGACGUUGCUUUCAGAGAUGCUGAUUCAGCAGAGCUAAGAAUCAGUAAAUUAGCAAUGUCUGUAAGGGAAUUUUAAAUAUUGGUAGAGUACCAAACUUCUAUUGUUACAGUGUCUUGGACAUCUAACUCCAAUUAAGUUACUGUACCAGGCAAUGUGGGAGAGAUGACAGUUCUCUUUUUGAGUCAGGAUGCAGAAAAGUGGGGAAACUGUAUCCAGUUUUUGGCUUCUCAGUGUCACUGCUAUAAAACUAUGUUGAAGGACCAUGAAAGAAUAACUAAGUCUAUAUAGCUAGUAUACAUUAUAGUGGGCUGUUCAGUUAGUAACACAAUGAUGUAGACUCCCAAAGAAUAAUCCACUCUGCUGAUUCAGUAUCUUUGCUGUUUAUGGAAUGAGAGUCGUCUUCAGGUGGCUUCCUGGCUUUUUCCUGUCUGCAUAAAGUUAGAUGCUUUCCUAAUUACAGUAUUCAAUUUCAUUAAUCUUCACGGGUCAUGAGAUGUCUUUAUGCAUAUAAAGGUACCUAAUCCAUACUGUAACUGAAUGCUGUGAAACUAACAUAGCAAUUGAAGAGGAAUCACACUAUUAAACACCAAAGAAACCCCUAUUUUGGGACAAAACAGGUAAGAUGGAAUUAAAUGGAGUAACUUUGGGGUAUACCAGCUUGAGAUGAUAUGCAUCGUGAAGCUUGACUUAGUAUCAAAGCAUUACUAAAUAAAGCUCCAUUUAGUGUGUGUGAGUGCUGGAAAAGCUGACAAAAUAUGACCUACUGGGUAGUCUGUAGUACAACUCUUUCUUCUGUAUGGAGGUAAAGUCUGUGACCCUGCCUUACCUGACAAUUAGCAAUGUCUGAUAUUGGUCAAUUUAGAGAAAGAAGCAUCAAGCUUCUGGUGCCAGACUAGCUGAGGUAGUAUGUGUUUCAUUCUCCAGAAAGGAUAUGUAAAUUUAAAAAAAAAAAAAAAAAGUAAUGAAAGGAACUACUAUCCUAUAUACUGUCAUUUGCAGGUCUUGAUAAGAAAAUUACUUGGCUAGUGAAGUAAGUAACUCUACCCCUUAAAUUAAACAGUUAUCAGUGAACUGACCUAGAACUUAAACUCCCCUAGAACUAAUAUGCAAGUUACUGUGAAAAAAUCACGGAGAACCUAGGUCAGCAUAGAUCAAUACGCAAAAUGACUAUGCUAACAGGUUAUCCCCUUGUGAAUGGGACAUGCAAAACUAAGACACUUUUGUACUAAGUUCUGGAUGGGUAACAGAUUAACAGAAGAAAUGGGAGUCAGGAAGCACAGGUGAAGUGGGAGAGGAAUGACUGCACGUCUCAUAGGAUAAAGAAUAGGCCAAAAAAAAAAAUAUGUAUAAUAGGUUUCCAUGUUACACCAUGGAAAGGUUAAAAGUUAAAAAUUUGCUUCUUCUUUUAAGGGCUGUUGUUUAUAGACUGUGUUGUUUAUAGACUGUGUAUUUAUGCAAAGAUGGUGCUUCGGUAUUCUUCAUCUGUGGUGCUAGAUUUCUCCAGGGUAUUUGCCACAUACAUCAUGGGAGCAUCGGGCUUUGUGUCUGCAUUACCUUAUUUGAUCAGAGUGCUGUGUUGAGCUAAGAAAUGUAAACCAAGCUGAAGCAACUUAAAAGUGAGUAUAAAUUAUCUAUUGCGUGAAAAUCAUGCUUGUUAUAUUGUUACAACACAAAUACUGGUUACAUGUAGACAAAAAAGGCUGAAAACAAACAUGUAAACACCUCAUCUGGGCAUGCUUACUAUUGUAAAAUUAACUAUGAUUAUGAUAGCAUGAUUUCAAAGCAAUACUUCCAGUAGUUUGCAAAGUUAGUAGUUCCUAUUAAAUAAAGGAGAUGCCAAUAUAGGUAGCAGAUUGAAAUGAAGAAUCAUAGGUACUGUCUUGUCUUUGCCAGUUCUUUGUUCUGUGGCUCAUAAUUGCUCUGCAAAGAAGGAUAAUAAUGCUUAGAAGGAUUUGAGAGCUGCAUGCAAUAAAUGCUAAUUAUUAUCAGCGUUCAUUUUAGGCAAAAUCUGAAAUGAGAUCAAAUCCAAAUGAAUCCUUGCUCAUGUCUAGUUAUAUCCAUGAAGAACCAGAAGUCCUUUCACAGUCACUUCCCCAUUUAACAGCCACAUCUGCCCUAUAUUGCAAUUUGCGUGAUUAUAUAUAAUGAACACAUACAUAUAUAUACAUGCAUGCACAUAUGUAAAUGCAUAUAUAUCCAUAUAUGUGUAUUGCUGAAUAUUAAGUUCACUCUUUAAGAAUACCUGUAACACUCUUGGAUGUAGUAUCUUUCGGGAGCUACAGAGGCCAAAAUAUCUACUGCUGUUGUGUUCAUUUCAAUAUGAGGAGACUUACCAAGAAUAAACAAAGAGUGGCGCCCAAGGCAAUUAAAUCUGUAAAGGAUCACGAAGACUACGAACAGGACACCGAACAGGAAGCACAGUGCUAAUGCACAUGAUUUACUGGACAUCCAUGAGAGAGUAAAAAGAAGCCAUCGUGGCCAAACAGCAAAGAGAGGUUAUUAGAAAGAAGGUGAAAAGCUGAAGACACAACUAAAUGAAGAAGACUGAAAGGAUCAUAAGCAAUGACAGAUACAAUAUUAACAAUAGUAUUAGGCAGCCUACAGAUGAGGCCAAGACCUAACUUGCUUAAAGAAUCCAAAGUAGUUCAGUGUCAUUCUUCCAGUGCAUCAGGAGGGGAAAACAUUGUCAGUGAGUCUGGAUAUGAUAGUGGUAUAAAGUGAACUCUUAGGGAGGACAAAGUCGCUGGAGAGAAGAUAAACUCUCUGCAUGCUUGUUCACUGUGGAAGAAAUUGGAGAAAUUCUCCAACUAGAAUUCUGCAGCCCUUUCAGGGCAUUCAGGGAACUCAGCAGAGAGUUCCUCUAAAAAGAGGUAAUGAUACCAAAGACAGAGGAGUCUUCAGGAUCAGAAGAAUUCACCCAAGAAUUCUUAAAGAACUCAGGCGUGAAAUACCUAACAGCAGCAUGUAACCUGUCACGUCAAUAUCCCUCUGUACAUGAAAAUCAGGUGUCAAAUGUGGUGUCAGUCAUUAAGAAAGGUUCCACGGGUGUCCAGCAAACCUACAUUUGACAUCUGUUUCAGGUGAAUGAGUAGAUAUGGUAAUAAGAGUUUGAAUUAGUAUCUACUUGAAUAAAUACGAUCCAAUUAGUGAGAGUUAACAAAACUCGAAUUUCUUUGAAGGGGUCGCUGACAUGAAUGUAGAGUCAACUUGAAUUUACAAAAGACUUUCGACAGAACUUUUGAACAGAAUCAAAGUGUUUCAGGAAAACCAGGCAACAUAAGGCUGUUGCUUGCGUAAGAAAGAAGGCCCUGGAAUGGAUGACAAUGUAAUUUAAAAGACUUGAACACUGGGUAGACCAUCACUGGAUGGAAGUAAAUGGUCACUUUUUCCACAGGAAGGAGAUCACAUAUGAAGUUUCAUAUGGUGUACGUGUUGGGACCUGUAUUGCUCAGUAUAGUCUUAAACCGUAGAAUCACAGAAUGGCUUGGAUUGGAAGGGACCUAAAAGAUCACCCAGAUCCAACUGCCCUGCAGUCGGCAGGGACAACUCCCACCAGAUGAGGUUGCUCAAAGCGCCAUUCAGCCUGGCAUUGAACACUUCCAGGGAUGGGGCAUCCACAGCCUCUCUGUGUAACCUGUUCCAGUGUCUCACCACCUUCAUUGUGAAGAAUUUCUUCCUUAUAUCUAAUCUAAGCCUACCCUUUUUCAGUUUAAAACAGUUACCCCUUGUGCUAUUAAUGACCAGGAGAAAGGAAGUGAUCAGUGAGGUGGCAAAGCUUUGCUGAUGAUAGGAGGCUAUACAAGGACAGAUUACGUGGAAAGUAGAAAGAUGUUGAAAGACUGUACAAUAAACGAUGGGUGCAACUCAGCAUAGAUGAAUAUAGUGAUACACUUGGGGAAUAAUAAUCCUAUCUUCAGAUUUUGGGUCAUUUCUAAGAUGGACCAAAUUUCUUCAGGAACCAGACCUUUGGCUUACUAUAGACAAUUCAAUGAAAAUAUUGACUUAGUAGAAAAAAGAAAAAGAAGAAAAAAAGUUAUAGGUAAGGAAUUAUUAGGAAGCAAAUAGAGAACAAACCAGAGAGGAUCAUUAUGCUGCUGUUGAAGUCAUUGUGCUACUAUAGAAAUCCAGGGUUUGUACACUUGAAUACUGCGUGAAGUUUUGUCAUGGAAAGAACAUACUAGAACUGAAAAAUAUUCAGAGAUGGCAAGGAUGAUCAGACGUAUACCAUGAUGUCCGUGCAACUCUUAAGGAACUCCGUACGUGGAAUAGCCAAGAAUCUUCGUUCUGAAGAGACGUGAUAGGGGGGAUAUAAGAAGACAUACAGAACUGAGAGGUCUGGAUAGCAGUGGAAGGGGCUUGGCUUUUCACCCUCUCUUAUAAUACGAGAAUGAGGGAUAUCAAAAGAAGCUUGUGGGAGUUUUAUUCAGAACAAACCGAAGGAACCGGUUCUUCAGACAACCUGUGUGGGUCAGUGGUGGUACUCUUCAAAGAACCUUCUGCAUCGAGGAGUUUAUGGGAAUACAAGGAGACUGGGUAGAACCUUGGAAGAGACGCUGAAGAGGCUACUAACUAGAUAAUCACAUAACAUAACCUGAAAAUGUUUGAAGGCUGGGAGGCAGCAUGUGCUUACCCUGUGCUUAUUUUUCCUGAGCGUUCAUUCAGAGUUCUGUGAUAGAUGCACCUGUGGGAUGAACCCACACAGAAGUUCAUACGUAACCUCCUUACACCGAAGUCAGGAUUCAGUAAAUAAAGUUAUUAACAGCUUAAAUACAUGUAUAACUUUCAAGCUCCCUAAGUAAUCAAAACGUUUCAAAAAGUUAGGGCUGGAAGAGACCUAAGGAGUCACCUAAUCCCUUCCCCUGUUCCAUGGACGGCAAAAUCGAUUACAUCUGUGUCCUUACUGACAAAUUUGUCUACCCUGCUCCUACAGUUUUCAGUGAUGGAGACUCAACAGCCUCCAUAAGCCUUCUAUUUAAAGUCUCACUAUUCAUACUAUGAGAGGGAUUUUUCUCCUGUCUAACUGGAAUCUAAUCAGCUGUUGUUUGCUGAAUGUAAACCAUUAGUUAACUGCAAGCCUGAGCUAAGAUGGGAGGCGUCCUAGACUUCUGAUGAAUGUUGUCUAGUGACUUUAGUGGCUCUGGAAAUAGCCUGGACGCAGGCUUGGUUUUCAGUGUAGCUAGUAGUUACUGGUUUAUUGUGCUUUGGUUAAUAUGACCAAGCGUGAAUGGGAAUCCCUUCUGUAUGCUUUUAGGGAUUUUCAGGUUAUUUUAACGUCUUACCUCUUUAGCAUUUUUCUGGCUUCAAGGAAACUUUCUCUGAGCAGUGCUUUCUAAACACAGCAUGUUUUGACUUAACUUCAGAAAAGGCUGUUUUGAAAGGUGUGUCUGCAGAAAGAGUGGGACAAAAAGACUUCUUUUAAAAGAUUACUGAAAAACAGCAUGUAUUAUUUUAUUUUUUUCCCUGUAAGGCCUUGAUUUCUGGUUUUGCCAAUAAAUUUACUGAACUUGUGUGUUUGAGAUGGAAUGUUUGAACUGUCCUAUGCGAUGCUGCUCAGUUCACUUAAACUCGCCUUCUUGCAGGUGAUCACUUACUCUGUUCCUCAUCUUCUAGGUACCUGACUUGAGAAGGGGGUUUUGACUAACAGAAGUGCUAGGCAUCUACAAAUCCAACUGAAGUUGACGUGGGCUGCUCUUACAAUACACAGUGUACUUUAAGUUGUUUAAGUCUUUUAAAAAAAUCAGCUCAAAUUAGGCAUUUUAGCAAACGAUUUAAGCUUGAUUUCUUUGUUUCAGUUUCCAGUGUCGAAUAUGAGUAAGAGCACUGUCCUCUCACUUGCACUAAAUUGUGAAAAUCAGUUUAUCGGUAUGUGAAGCACUCAGGAGCAAUAGUGGUGGUGGAGUAAUAGUGGUGGUCAUUCUGAGGAAAUGAAUGUCUGCGAACAGGGGUUUGAAUUAGUAAAUAGACAUGAGGUCAUAUGCAGAACAAAAAGGGGAAAAAAAAUGUACUAAAUAGCUGUUCACUGGUGAGCGCUGACAAUUCUGUGUACAGAAUGAAGCAAACAUCCUGUGGAAAAAUAGUUUGUAAGGGUGUAUUUGAAAACUUCAUCAUACUGUGGAUUACGCAAGGAAGCCAAAUAAAGAUUGCACAAGCACUUUGAUUUUGGUGGUUUUAAGCUCAUUGACUGCAAAACUGCAACCUCGGUGAUGUACUUUUAAUACAGUAUUUUAUGUACGCCAUGUAUAUUUGUAGAUUGUAAACUAUAGUUGUUGCACUGGCUGGGGAGCCAUCUAAAGUGGUCCAAAACAUUACAUAGCACCCUGUGGCCACAUCUCUUGCAUCAGAGACAUUUAAAAAUAUUAAAAAUCAUGUAUGUUUGUAGAUUGUAAACUCUAGCAGUUGCAGUGAAACAAUGGCAAUACCAGCCAGCACAUUGGCAUGGGGAGGAAUGUAAAGCAUUUCUCUUUCUUGAAAAUAACUUAUUAUUAAAAUAACAAUAGUUGCGAAUUUCUGCAUGGAUUGUAUGUAGGGUAGCUGCCAAGAGGCUGGGUGAGAAAUAGGUGCAAAAGGGAUGGAGUGUCCCUCAAGAUUUUGUAUAUGCCUAUUUAGCUCUGCUGUUAAUGACAAGUGAAAACCUAUGGGCUGCUCUCUGUGCACGAAUAAUGGACAGAACACAACCCUUGAUAUUUCUGUUCAUGUGCCUUAAGCGCAGACCCAUAGUUUAUAUUCUUUGUAGGACUAUUACCGUCAAUAUAAAGUCAAAAGUAGUUUUUGAACUUGGGCUAGAAGGUUGAGAGGAAAAUUCUCUUUUAUUUUGUGUGAGGCUGUCUGCUGAGACUAUAGCUACCAAAUCAGAGAGAUUUAUCAAAGAGAAAAAUUUACAGUUAAGCUCUGCCUUCUCAAAGCUUCGGGAAGGUCUGUUAGCACUGAUUAACUUUCUGGACUUAGAGGCAUUUACAGUCUGGAACCUCAUUCAGAGUUCUCUCCUCUUAAAGCACGUGCGAAAGCCUUGCCAUGACGGGUCGUUUCUCCCCUGGCUGGAGGAGACGUCUACUUGUUUAUGUCUUGGCUUUUUCUUACUGGUGUUCUGGAAACUUGCUUGAGUAUGUAAAUUUGUUCAUAUAGCUAGUGAUAACAUACGUGGAAUGAAUCACAAUGCAAGUUGUUUUGCUGAAUUUUGCAUGCAUAUUUAUAAUCACGUAAUCAUGUGUUACAUUAUAAUUGGAUAAUCUAAUACUAGGUUCCCCAAAAGCUGGGGCAACAUUAUGCAGGCGUAGCCCCCGCUGUAAAGGGUUAGAUACUGAGGUACUUGGGGAACAAAUGAUCUUGCCAAGUGCCAACUUCUAGAAUUUUUCUUGCACUUCCCUUGCAAGAGUUGCACAUGAUGCAAAACAGAAGAGAAUUGAGGUAAGACGCUUCCUUUAAGCAAAACAUAGGUGUUUAAUCUUAAACUUACUGUUUUUACAUUCUUGUGAUCUAUCUGUAAUCAUAACGGGAGAGAAGGAGCGCACAGGUGGUUUCCUUUCCCCAUGUUUCAGCCCAGAUUCAGCGGAGCGUGUGUGUGUCUCAAUCCAUGUGACUGUCUUGCUGUAAUACCUUGCUGAAUCGGAGUUUUCACUUAUGUUUACAGCUUGAAGGACUUUGUAAAAAUUCUGACUUGGAUUCCCCCUGUUCUACAACUUGAAAUGUAUAGGCUGGCAGGCACAUAGUUUUGAGGGUGGUUUUUUUUUUUUUUUUUUGUAUUUACACAUAGUGAUCAUUCCACUUCCUGCAGUCUAUCUUAGAGUUCUGACUUCUGCAAUUUUAACUGGCUUUCUGAUUUUCUUUGUUGCUUCCCCUUCCUCCCUUCAUUGUUUUGCUCUUCUGUUCCUUUUCAACCUUGAUGACUUUUUCCUUAACUAUUUAGAGAGACUUCUUUUGCUCCAGACGUGGUUCAUCACUUGGAGAAUUCCUGCAGCUGUGGAUCUUCUGACAACUGUAGCUCGUGGCCACCCCUUCUGUCAAGAGAAUUUUAGCCAUGCUGCUAUGCUGUAGCUGGAUUUCACAGAUGCAUUCGUGGAGGUUGUGUUGUGUUUGGUUUUGUUGUGUUUUGAAUCAGCCCGCUACUAUGUGGCUUUUCUUUUAACUACUCUGGAGACGACAGUGUUACUCUCUUUUGACUACAGGUGUAUUAGGCAACAUGCACAUAAGUAGCUUAUAGGAGUAACUGAAGUACACCUGAUUUGCUCGCUUACAUAGCACUGUACCCAAGAGAACCUUCAGCAGAAAUCUUUUGAAACCCUUUUUAUUGUGUAAGGAUGCGUCGUCCAGACCCAAGAGGUGUCUGUCAGCUGGCUUUCAAAGUUACAUUCAGUGAACACGCUGAGCUGUGGACGCCAGGUUAGGCUUCCAGCAGAUACCCGUGUCACCGUGCUGUGCAUCGAUUUAGACAUAAACUGUUUAAUUAUAGUUGGAGCUUUCGGAAAGGUUUCUACCCAGGUGGCCACUCAGAAGGUUAAUCUGCUGCCCGAGAUGGUUUGAAACUUGCUGCCACGAAACCUGCAGCUUCCAACCUGAGUGGCAGCACCAGGAAUUAAAUCUCUGGUUCCUGAUACAGUGUGAUCCGUGUUUAUCCUCCUGGUAUUUUUAAUGUUGCCUAUCUACUGGAUAACCACUAGCUCAGCUGACAAAGGGGAAGUGGUUUCAGUGUGUUGCUCUGCAAAGACUUAUUUUCUAUAUUACUUCUGGAGCUCCUCCCACUAAUAUGACUAGCUAGAUUAUCUGUAAGGCUGUACUUGUUCUGAAGCCACUAUUGAUUAAAUGCUGAGAUGAAUUUUUUUUAGAAGCUGUCAUUGGAACAUGCUUAGGCUGCAUUUGCUGUCAGCUUAACAGUCAUGUUUCUGUGUCUUCCUCUAAAUUCCUCUCCCAGCUGGGCUCUUUCAUAUCUUAGCAUUAAAAUAGAUUCUUCCUAAUUAGACAGAUCUCUGUCAUGAUAAUCAUCUUGAGAACGUAUGCUGUAUUUUCAUACUGCGUAUCUUUUCACAGAUAGGGCCUGCACUUUAUAAUUUUUCAAAAUCGUAACUCACUGAAUAGAUCCUUUACCAAGCAAUCAUCUCCUGUAACCAGCAAUUAGCGUCCUGUCAGCUGAUACUGUCGUGACGGUAGUUUUCUGAAGCUGAUGCUCGGGAAGAAAAGAGCGUAGAGCAAACGCAAAUAUUUCCGUGUGCAAGGUGAACUACUGCAUGAAAAGAGUUGUUUGGUCAAGGCUGCGAGGAACAUCUGUUUGGAUGACGACAGGCGGUAGCAGAACAGCACUGAAGCUUCUCUCUUCCUUGCCUUGUCCAAGCUCCAACCUGACGUUUUCUUUUCAGCUUGUAUUUAUUCAGACUCGCUGGCUUAGCAGAAACGCUGUCCUUUGCAAAAAUUGAAUUUAAAUAGUUCCCUAAAUAGCAGUUUUUGGCCCUGUUUCUUCAGAAGCCGGUAAUUGUUUGUGUAAGUAUCCUUAAAAUAAAAGCAAUGCAAAAAUGA
Cygnus olor (mute swan) is the source of this 10152-nucleotide long non-coding RNA. RefSeq lists it as uncharacterized. The record is from RefSeq and is a predicted model, not a curated record. The transcript is spliced from 5 exons. NCBI's taxonomy places the organism in Eukaryota, Metazoa, Chordata, Aves, Anseriformes, Anatidae.